UCCUGUGUCUAAGUCUGGUCCUGGGUACUCCGGAGCGCCACGCAUUCAGAGGCAGGAGCAGGUCAUCCACCACUCCCCCAAGAAGAGCUCCCAGCAGCCUGAGGGUCCCUACUCCAGCCAGUAACACCCUGUCCAGCACGGCCUCGAGCGGGGGCCACAGCGACACCGACAAGUGGUUCGACCUGGGGGUCCCCGGGGGACCAGGAGAGGCCCCUGACUCUGAACCCAACGGCCUGGGAGGGGGGUACCUCCAGGGGGCCUCGGCCGACAGUGGGAUAGACACCUCGUCUUACGGAGGGGGAGGGGGCCACUCACACCCCCACCACGGGAGUUCUAGUUGCCUCUUAGCUCCUGGGGGUAGAGAGGGGAGGGAUAGAGCUCCAUCCCCCAGGCAUAGCCCCACUGAGGGGGACAGGAGGGUGCUAGAGAGGUCCACGCCAGCCGCGGAGUCCCCACAACCCCCAGUGGAGAGGGGGGAGAGAGGAGAGGGGACGGCCAGGACUCCUCCUACACACCUAUUGGUUAGAGAUUGCAGCUUGUACAGUCUGAGUGAUGCUGGGUCACACUCCAGCUCCAGAGGCCAUUCUGGCCACAGUUCCCCCCGUGAAGAGUCUCUUCGCUCUGCUAUCCC
Salvelinus sp. IW2-2015 is the source of this 631-nucleotide long non-coding RNA. RefSeq lists it as uncharacterized. Lineage: Eukaryota; Metazoa; Chordata; Actinopteri; Salmoniformes; Salmonidae. The record is from RefSeq and is a predicted model, not a curated record.